ACACUAAAAAAAUCCUUGACUGAGUGCUUGAUAUAUAUUUGGGACUCUAUGAAAACAGCCUAAAGGAGCCUCAGAAAAGGGAGUAACUACAUCAAGAGGGUCAAUAAAACUGGGAAAGGAGGCUGUUGUCAUCUCCAUGGCAACAUCUGGCCCAGCAAAGACCCCAUUAUGAGGGAGCCUCGUGGUGAGCCCUUCCCCGAUAGCUCAGUUAAGAGUCCGCCUGCAAUGCAGGAGACCCUGGUUUGAUUCCUGGGUCAGGAAGAUCCGCUGGAGAAGGGAUAGGCUACCCACUCCAGUAUUCUUGGGCUUCCCUGGUGGCUCAGCUGGUAAAGAAUCUGCCUGCAAUGUAGGCAAUCUUGGUUCUGAGUUCAAUGCCUGGGUUGGGAAGAUCCCCCGGAGAAGGGAAAGGCUACCCACUCCAAUAUUCUAGGCCUGGAGGAUUCCAUGGACUGUAUAGGCCAUGGGGUCACAAAGAGUCUGACACGACUGAGCCACUUUCACUUCACAUCGUGAGCCCUAGAAGGUUAAGUGGAGAUUCAGCACGUGAGCUGAGGGGCCGGCACCCCUCGCGGCAGCAACAAGGGUCUACUGAAUGGCUUCCCAGGAUGAACUGCUUGAGGCCACGUUACCAAGUUGAUGCCAAGGACAAAGGAGCCCUACAAGGAGCUUCUACCAAGCCACCACCCCUCCGACCAGGUCUUCUGAAAAACGAGGUGCGGCUGGGAAGGAGAAACGCAGAGGCAGAGGAAGAAAGAAAAUGUGCCUCCAUCCGUCUCCGUCUUCAGUCCAGGCAGCCAUCAGGAGCACGUGAAGGAUUCCACAUGGAGGUCUGUCUGUCACAUCUGCUGCAGCUUUGCCCGCCCUCUGCUCCUGCCCUGAGACACAUUCAAACAGCUCUAUUGCUUCACAGAGAAAGAUGGAGACCACCCAAAGCUGCCCUUCGCUCUCGUGUGAAAUCACUGCAGUGA
Molecule: long non-coding RNA, 968 nt
Filed under: Ovis aries (sheep)
Lineage: Eukaryota; Metazoa; Chordata; Mammalia; Artiodactyla; Bovidae
Description: lncRNA (ENSOARG00000026763.1)
Source: RNAcentral